GACGAACGCUGGCGGCGUGCUUAACACAUGCAAGUCGAGCGGUAAGGCCCUUUCGGGGGUACACGAGCGGCGAACGGGUGAGUAACACGUGGGUGACCUGCCCUUAGCUCUGGGAUAAGCCUGGGAAACUGGGUCUAAUACCGGAUAUGACUCCAUGACGCAUGUUGUGGGGUGGAAAGCCUUGUGCGGCUAGGGAUGGGCCCGCGGCCUAUCAGCUUGUUGGUGGGGUGAUGGCCACCAAGGCGACGACGGGUAGCCGGCCUGAGAGGGCGACCGGCCACACUGGGACUGAGACACGGCCCAGACUCCUACGGGAGGCAGCAGUGGGGAAUCUUGCGCAAUGGGCGAAAGCCUGACGCAGCGACGCCGCGUGGGGAUGACGGCCUCGG
RNAcentral lists this ribosomal RNA (389 nucleotides) under uncultured bacterium. Its description in RNAcentral is "bacterial SSU rRNA". It matches the Rfam family "Bacterial small subunit ribosomal RNA", at positions 28 to 420 of the family's 1533-position model. The record is from RNAcentral.